CAGUCGAGCGACGGAUAAGGAGCUUGCUCCUUUGAAGUUAGCGGCGGACGGGUGAGUAACACGUGGGUAACCUACCUAUAAGACUGGAAUAACUUCGGGAAACCGGAGCUAAUGCCGGAUAACAUUUGGAACCGCAUGGUUCUAAAGUAAAAGAUGGUUUUGCUAUCACUUAUAGAUGGACCCGCGCCGUAUUAGCUAGUUGGUAAGGUAACGGCUUACCAAGGCAACGAUACGUAGCCGACCUGAGAGGGUGAUCGGCCACACUGGAACUGAGACACGGUCCAGACUCCUACGGGAGGCAGCAGUAGGGAAUCUUCCGCAAUGGACGAAAGUCUGACGGAGCAACGCCGCGUGAGUGAUGAAGGUUUUCGGAUCGUAAAACUCUGUUAUUAGGGAAGAACAAAUGUGUAAGUAACUGUGCACAUCUUGACGGUACCUAAUCAGAAAGCCACGGCUAACUACGUGCCAGCAGCCGCGGUAAUACGUAGGUGGCAAGCGUUAUCCGGAAUUAUUGGGCGUAAAGCGCGCGUAGGCGGUUUCUUAAGUCUGAUGUGAAAGCCCACGGCUCAACCGUGGAGGGUCAUUGGAAACUGGGAAACUUGAGUACAGAAGAGGAAAGUGGAAUUCCAUGUGUAGCGGUGAAAUGCGCAGAGAUAUGGAAGGAACACCAGUGGCGAACGCGACUUUCUGGUCUGUAACUGACGCUGAUGUGCGAAAGCGUGGGGAUCAAACAGGAUUAGAUACCCUGGUCAGUCCACGCCGUACACGAUGA
RNAcentral lists this ribosomal RNA (772 nucleotides) under Staphylococcus equorum. RNAcentral's name for it is "bacterial SSU rRNA". It matches the Rfam family "Bacterial small subunit ribosomal RNA", at positions 59 to 812 of the family's 1533-position model. The record is from RNAcentral. Lineage: Bacteria; Bacillati; Bacillota; Bacilli; Caryophanales; Staphylococcaceae.